RNAcentral lists this long non-coding RNA (592 nucleotides) under Mus spicilegus (steppe mouse). RNAcentral's name for it is "lncRNA (ENSMSIG00000007617.1)". Lineage: Eukaryota; Metazoa; Chordata; Mammalia; Rodentia; Muridae. The record is from RNAcentral.
AUUUUGGACAGCUCUGUGCUUUUUAAACCUUUAUGAUGCAGAUAUCUCUCAAGAUGUUUCAGUGACAUCCAGAGGUGAUUGCUGUGGACAGCUUUCUGUGAAGAUGCCUUUGUCACUAUUAUUGAGAGCCCACACUCUGCAAAGGAAAGCCCUCUAUGAUUAGCGCAUUACCGGCUGUUUGUGGAUUUGCCUGCAGCAUCGUGACUUGCAUUUUCUUCAAGGAUUCUCUGUCAAGGUUACUGUCAGCAGUUCAUCACCUCUAACUGAAGACAUACAAGCAAUAUAUGGCUGCCAUGAGGAUAAUAAUCAUUAUUCUCCAGGAACAAGUCCCGAUGAAUUAUCUGGACCUAAGUGGUCAGUCCUAAGCACAUAUAUAUGUGAGCAACACUACGUGGGCUCAGCAGGUUGUAUUUAUUUAUGCAUUUUCAUGUUUUUAAAUAAUGAAAAAAGAGGCCAUGGGAGAACUUGUGGCACUAGAGGUGUUUGAAUGGUGAAAAUAGGACAUAGAAAUAAUGUAAACUUAGCACUAUUGUCUAAAAUUCUCACAAAGUAGUAACGAAAUAAAUGUUUCAAAGAUAGACCUUUGUAUUCA